This 418-nucleotide ribosomal RNA is filed under the name uncultured bacterium. RNAcentral's name for it is "bacterial SSU rRNA". It matches the Rfam family "Bacterial small subunit ribosomal RNA", at positions 358 to 773 of the family's 1533-position model. The record is from RNAcentral.
GGAAUAUUGGUCAAUGGGCGCAAGCCUGAACCAGCCAUGCCGCGUGCAGGAAGACGGUCCUAUGGAUUGUAAACUGCUUUUAUACAGGAAGAAACCUCCCUACGUGUAGGGACUUGACGGUACUGUAGGAAUAAGGAUCGGCUAACUCCGUGCCAGCAGCCGCGGUAAUCCGGAGGAUCCAAGCGUUAUCCGGAAUCAUUGGGUUUAAAGGGUCCGUAGGCGGGAUAAUAAGUCAGCGGUGAAAGUCUGUGGCUCAACCAUAGAAUUGCCAUUGAUACUGUUGUUCUUGAGUGUUUAUGAAGUGGUUAGAAUAUGUAGUGUAGCGGUGAAAUGCUUAGAUAUUACAUGGAAUACCGAUUGCGAAGGCAGAUCACUAAUAAAAUACUGACGCUGAUGGACGAAAGCGUAGGUAGCGAAC